GAUGAACGCUAGCGACAGGCCUAACACAUGCAAGUCGAGGGGCAGCACGAAGUAAGCUUGCUUACUUUGGUGGCGACCGGCGCACGGGUGCGUAACAGGUGUGCAAUCUGUCCAUAAUCGGGGAAUAGCCCAGCGAAAGUUGGAUUAAUGCUCCAUGUGAGUUUUAGAGGCACCUCUUUAACUUGAAACGCAAGGAUUAUGGGUGAGCACGCUUCUGAUUAGGUAGUUGGUAAGGUAACGGCUCACCAAGCCGACGAUGGAUAGGGGAGCUGAGAGGCUCGACCCCCCACACUGGGACUGAGACACGGCCCAG
This 313-nucleotide ribosomal RNA is filed under the name uncultured bacterium. Its description in RNAcentral is "bacterial SSU rRNA". It matches the Rfam family "Bacterial small subunit ribosomal RNA", at positions 28 to 334 of the family's 1533-position model. The record is from RNAcentral.